Small nucleolar RNA from Mastomys coucha (southern multimammate mouse), 134 nucleotides. RefSeq annotates it as small nucleolar RNA SNORA17. The record is from RefSeq and is a predicted model, not a curated record. Lineage: Eukaryota; Metazoa; Chordata; Mammalia; Rodentia; Muridae. The transcript has a single exon.
AUUGCUCCUACAGGUAUUGCUGAUGAUGUGGCUGCUGUGUCACAUGUGCAUCAGUAGGUGGCAGAGAGGAGAAAGGCUAUGUCUGUGCUCAGUGUUCUGACCUCUGAACAUCUGAAUGACAGUAUCCUAACAUU